UGGGGGAUAUUGCACAAUGGGCGAAAGCCUGAUGCAGCGACGCCGCGUGGGGGAUGAAGGCCUUCGGGUUGUAAACUUCUUUUGCUCUGAACAAGGCAUGCCAAUGGGUGUGUUGAGUGUAGGGGUUGAUUAGCGCCGGCUAACUACGUGCCAGCAGCCGCGGUAAUACGUAGGGCGCGAGCGUUGUCCGGAUUUAUUGGGCGUAAAGCGAGCGCAGGCGGUCAAUUAAGUCUGAUGUGAAAGCCCCCGGCUCAACCGGGGAGGGUCAUUGGAAACUGGUUGACUUGAGUGCAGAAGAGGAGAGUGGAAUUCCAUGUGUAACGGUGAAAUGCGUAGAUAUAUGGAGGAACACCAGUGGCGAAGGCGACUCUCUGGUCUGUAACUGACGCUGAGGCUCGAAAGCGUGGGGAGCGAACAGG
RNAcentral lists this ribosomal RNA (419 nucleotides) under Bacteroidota bacterium. RNAcentral's name for it is "Bacteroidetes bacterium partial 16S ribosomal RNA". It matches the Rfam family "Bacterial small subunit ribosomal RNA", at positions 355 to 776 of the family's 1533-position model. Lineage: Bacteria; Pseudomonadati; Bacteroidota. The record is from RNAcentral.